Molecule: ribosomal RNA, 303 nt
Filed under: uncultured bacterium
Lineage: Bacteria
Description: partial 16S ribosomal RNA
Rfam family: Bacterial small subunit ribosomal RNA
Source: RNAcentral
AGCAGCAGCCACGGGAAUACGUAGGUAGCGAGCGUUGUCCGGAUUUAUUGGGCGUAAAGGGAGUGUAGGCGGUCUUUUAAGUCUGAUGUGAAAGCCCACGGCUCAACCGUGGAGGGUCAUUGGAAACUGGGAGACUUGAGUGCAGAAGAGGAGAGCGGAAUUCCAUGUGUAGCGGUGAAAUGCGUAGAUAUAUGGAGGAACACCAGUGGCGAAGGCGGCUCUCUGGUCUGUAACUGACGCUGAGGCUCGAAAGCGUGGGGAGCAAACAGGAUUAGAUACCCGUGUAGUCCCUGUCUCUUAUAC